RNAcentral lists this ribosomal RNA (451 nucleotides) under uncultured bacterium. Its description in RNAcentral is "bacterial SSU rRNA". It matches the Rfam family "Bacterial small subunit ribosomal RNA", at positions 335 to 773 of the family's 1533-position model. The record is from RNAcentral.
ACUCCUACGGGAGGCAGCAGUGGGGAAUUAUUGCACAAUGGGCGCAAGCCUGAUGCAGCCAUGCCGCGUGUGUGAAGAAGGCCUUCGGGUUGUAAAGCACUUUUCAGUUGUGAGGAAGGUGGUGUCGUUAAUAGCGGCAUCAUUUGACGUUAGCAACAGAAGAAGCACCGGCUAACUCCGUGCCAGCAGCCGCGGUAAUACGGAGGGUGCGAGCGUUAAUCGGAAUUACUGGGCGUAAAGCGCAUGCAGGUGGUUUGUUAAGUCAGAAUGUGAAAGCCCGGGGCUCAACCUGGGAACUGCAUUCAAAACUGACUGACUAGAGUAUGGUAGAGGGUGGUGGAAUUUCCUGUGUAGCGGUGAAAUGCGUAGAUAUAGGAAGGAACACCAGUGGCGAAGGCGACCACCUGGGACUAAUACUGACACGUGAGGUGCGAAAGCGUGGGGAGCAAAC